This is a long non-coding RNA of Glossina fuscipes, 10642 nucleotides long. RefSeq lists it as uncharacterized. The record is from RefSeq and is a predicted model, not a curated record. The transcript is spliced from 3 exons. NCBI's taxonomy places the organism in Eukaryota, Metazoa, Arthropoda, Insecta, Diptera, Glossinidae.
ACUGAAAAGACAGGAGUUAAAUACACAAAAACAAAGAAACAAUUGAAAAAUCGCAGACGAAAAGAAAACACGUGCUAUACUCUACACAAGUCGACUCGGUAUGCAGGAAAAAUAAAUUUUUUUUUUACAACUAGAAGUAGCCUUCGUAUACAUUUUCUCAAAUAUUUUAGAAAAAGUAACCAGUAAACUUGUUGGCUUACAUGAUUUUACAACAUUUUCUGGUCAUUUGAUAUGCCUAAAUGAAUUUCGACUGAAAAAGUUGUUCUUUUAAUCAUUGCUUAUCUAGCGCAGAUUCCUUGCAGCUGUAUUCAAAUUCCUUUUGUACAAAAUAGCGUCUGUCAACCACAAAUGUUAUCACACAACAAUUACAUGAAUUGCAUUACAAUAAAUCGUGAAAAAAAAGAUAGAAUAUAAGCAAACAAAACGAAAAUUUUUCAUUAAGUCUACAAGCAUAACGCACCUAUAGUGAAUUUAACAAAAUCACCGCCAAAUAAUUCUACAGUAUAAAUAUUCAAACGGACAAUGCGAAUGCAAUAUUUCGCUAAAUUUGAUCAGGUUCUGCAUAAAUCUUAGCACAGCUAAUCGCUGCACACAUUGUUGUUAAAUACUUGUGUUUCAGAAAAACACCUCAUACAAACGAAAUGAAAAGAAUUCAUCAUCUGGUAAGUCAAAGCUGAAAAAAAACCAAAAUAUUGUGCGGUUUGCAUUAUUCAGUGGAUGACGUAAUCGAUUAGACAACAAAGCGCAGAUAUUUUUCCACAAAUCGAUCAGUGAGUGAUAUAACCAACUAAAAACGAAAACGCGAGAAAGUUUCUUCAGAAAAGGACCAUUAAGUGGCAUAAUACACAAUUCGACUGAAGAUCAAGUGCUGACGACCCAGGACAACGGGAGAAAAAGUACAACGCGUGUUCCGUUUGUAUGAGUUUGUUAUUGAUUGAUUUGUUGUUGAACAACAAACGUCAAAUUUAGCUCGUAUUUUCCCAUUAAUUUUUGCAAUAAAUGUCGAAUGACGAAACACCAAUACGUGUCCAUUUUCUCAGCAUACGAAGCAUAAAUUUAAUUAUACAAAUACCGAAGGUCUUGACAGAGGCCGAAUUCACGAAGAAAUCGAACAUCUCGCGAAAGGCGAAGUGUUUCUGUUGUUAUUUCACAGAAAAGCUGAAGGACCCGUGAUAAAGCGCUAUGAUGCGUUGAAAUCAUCUGCUUUCGAGUGAGGCAACGUGGAAAUCUCAACCUUUCUUACGAGAAGCCAAAAAGGGCGGCUGCCUGUUUUGUCAGCCGUUUUGUCCUUGGUUUGUUUCUGAAUUAAACAUCCGGUUGGGGACAUAUUUUUAUCGCUUACGUGGAAUUCAAACCAAGGCGAACGUGUAUACUUCAAUUUGAUAUGAACAAAAAAGCCAACCGCGGCGAGCACUUGGUUACCAUAACUCUAAUCGUAAGAGAUGAAACAAGACAUAAUUUAAAAUUAAUUUGCAAGACUAUGCUAACAAACUACAAACCAUAAAUCAUCCGUGAAAUUAUAAUAAAGCGAAUGUGCUAAUUACAAAUAUAAAAGAACAAAUGACUCUCCGUUUAAAAUAGCAAUUAACAAAUUAAACCCAAAGGGGAGCGUUUAGAAGGAAGUAUUUCAAGUUUAAUUGGGACUAAAAAUAUAAAUUAAUCUUAUACGACGACUCAGGGUUCCGAUGAGCUUACUCCGGCCACUGGGAAGCUUCCUAAUAAGUUGGCGCCCGAGCAGGGACUACGAAUUGCCUUCCGCGAGUGAAAAUGAAACAAAAAAAAAGGGACGCCACAUAUACAGGCACCAACCCAAAGACAAGAUAAAAAGAGGGAUUUUAAACAUGAAAAUCCGAUCGCUAUCAAAGAAAUGACGUCAAACGCCGUUGAUUGCAUUUAAGCAAGUUAAGAUAUGAGUGAAAAUUGGCGGACGUAAAGACUGCAAAGCAACUGACAUCAUUAAACCAUUGUGGUCUUACAAAAUGAAACGAGAACAUUAAAUUGAUUUAGUUUGUGACAACCAAAAGAAAAGAGGGUGUUUAAAAGAAUGUUGGGGAGAGCAUCAGAAAAAAAAUUUUUAACAGCGCUAACAACCAUUCAAGCAAAUGAUUCUACCCAUACCUCAACACUCUUUGCAACUAAGCCAAAACAGUUAGACGAAAAAUGGACAGUGGUUAAGGAAGUAUACAAUCAAGCGAAGGAUAUUCUGCUUGACGUCGAUUCCAUCGCUUAUAAUUUCAAUGAAUACUCUCACAAAAAGUAUUCUAUUACGACAUAGACAGAACGAGCAACGUGCAACAGCAGCAAUAACCCCUGCAAUAUCUUCACAAAGUUUACCAAAGAUAUCAUUGACAAAGUUUGCUUGUAAUCACCUAGAGUAGAAACGGUCCUCGGAGGUCUUUGUACAACUUGAGCGCGAAAGACCCAUCGCUUCUGCAGAGAAAAUGUGGUGUUUAAAGGCCAAUUUGACGGGAGAUGCAGAACAUCUGAUAAGUCAUCUUACUCCCACUGUACAGAAAUAUAAUACCGCAUGGAAAAUUCCUCACGACAAGCAUGAUAAUAAAAGAGCAUUAGUGAGUACUGUAGUACAAAAAGUACCUGAUUAGACGAAAUGCUCAGGCUUAGCCUGCAAGCAUUAGAACACGUACACGGCGUAACUAAUGGAUCUUUCAUGGCAUUAAAAAAUUUUGAAGUCCAAACCGAUGGCUCGGAUUUAUUUUUAAUCCCAACUCUACUAAAAAAAGUCGGCAAGACAACUCAUUAACCCCAGCAGACACCUGAAGACUUAAGAGUAUUGUCAACCUGAAGUCAAUUUUUGACUUCCUCGAAAAUCGAUUCCGUAUUUUGGAGCCCCUGGGAAGUAAAGAGAGAGGAUCUGCAAAAACAUUCACUUCGGUGGCAAGUCCACCACUAUUUGCAACAGAAUGUUUUGCAUGUAAAAACCGCACAAUGUACAAAGAUGACCAACAUUCCUGAAGGCGACGGUUUCGCAACGAAACCAAAUUAUUAAAUCGCACAGUGUUGGUUACAAGCGUCUUCACUUGGGCAAUACGCAUAUCAAUUGCAAUAUGGUCCAAAAAAUGCAAUAAUCGCCACCAUAUGUCACUCCAAAAGGCAACAAUCACGUUUCCAUCGUGAACUGUGACAACAGCGCAAUACUCAGACAACACCAACAGUUUCCCCACAACACAUUGUCAGUCAACCACCAAAUGGGGCAGCACAUCCUGGAAAAGGCGAGUGUACCAAGUUUAUGAAUACGAGUAUGAAUCUUUAGUUCAAUUGACCGAAAUUGAUCUCAGCACUACAUUUAUUUGAACCCAUUUCAUAUCUCAUCAAAGUGUGUGCAAGUAAAAAAGCUAUGCUAGUAACCUAAGAGCGGUAUUCGAUGAUUCAGCAAUCAUUUCAUCCGAGUUGUCUUUGAACGACUUAAUGCAUACAGGGCCAGUUAUAAACAGUGGACUAAGCUCCAUAUUAAUUCCAUUCCGACAACCCAGGUUCGUACUCACUACUGACAUCGACGGAUCAAGAUAUCCGAAGACGACAAAAGAUUCGAGAUCAUCGCAUGGUGGUGCGAUCAGAGCACACCAUUAAAGUUCUACAGCCUAAACACAUGACUUACGAGAUUCGGGCUGCCCCAUACUUAGCAACCAAAUGUCUACAAUCUUAGGGAAAAGAAUUUGAGCAAAAAUAUGUCGUUCUCUCUAAGGCACUAUUGAAGCAUUUCUUUGUGGAUGUCAGCCUGUCGGGAAAAGACGGACUGUUACCAGCUAUUCAUAUGCAAAAGGAGCUAAGUGUCGUAUUAAAUAGUGGGGGCUUUAAUCUUCGAAAAUGGUGCGCCAACCAUCAACACUUUUUAGCCAUCCUUUCCGAAAUUUCCCGUCACACUAGGAGAACCGUUGUAUCUGAUGUGGCCAGAAUCUUUGACCCUAUGGGGCUAGUAGCAGCGGUCGUUACUAUGGCGAUAAUUAGUUUCAACAUUUAUGAAAGUAUGAUUCAUCUUAGGAUCAGGAACUCCCAGAUUCUAUUGACAACCGUUGAAUUCAUCUCAGAAACAACGUCAAACGAAUUAGACAAUUUUCAAAUCAAACAAAAGGCUGUUCAUCCCGGUGAAUAGAGCACUUUACAACUGCACUCAUUUUCAGACGCUUCUGAAAAGACGGCGCUGCAAUUUAUUGAAGAUCAAUUCACUAAGGAUGGAAGAUGGUUUUCUGAAGAAUUAAAAAGAUCGUACCAUUGGUUCUCUGGCCCGCUAUUCUCUCAUCCGACCUCUCAACUCUUACCCAACGAGUCAGUUGAGACCGACCUGCUAGCGGCACAAGUAGAAAGGAAGAAAUUCGCUGCAGUCCAAACGAAACUAUUCCCCAAUUCCCAUGACGUGUAAAACACCAUUUACCAUAUCAACCACAAGAAUUAUUUUCAGUCAUUAAUCAAUAUUGCAUAAUACAUCCUUAAUUUUUGCAUCAACGUCAGAAUAAUACCUAAUAAACGAAACUGCAGCAUUACAAAAUGCUCGAUACACUAUAGUAAGAGCCAUACAAUCCGAUUUUAAAGAGAUACAAUAACGCCGGAAGCACUAUUGCGUCAGCAAAACUGGCCAACUGAAUCCACUCAAUCCCUUUGUGGAUGAAAAAGGAGACAUUCGUGUAGGAGGGCACUUGCAAAUUGAUGCUAUGAUGCUCAACAUCCCAACUUUAACGUUGCCAUUUGUUUGGUGGCAUUAUUGUUUCUACCAAUUGCAUUAUGCAAACCAAUUAGAAUACAGAAAACCACUCCAGGGACAGGCAUUCAUUUUUAUCGCUUAGGCUCAUUUUAUAUCGUGGACGAUGAAUGGCAUUUAUUUGCGUACUAUGACAUGAAACCACUAAAAACUCAAAUUGCUACGCUAAGCAAUGGAAUUAAGUGUCUGAACUACAUGACCCACUCCAAAGAGAUAACUUUUUUUUAACGCCACAAACGACAUUGACUUUGUACGAAAUAUUGCUAACGCAUUGUUCGGCGUGCUAGAUUCAGAAUACGCCAAGAGGAUUCCCAGCAGCACAUAUUGAGCUUGCUUAAAAAUCCAGCUUCUACCUUAGACUCCACCAUCAACAUCAUCAAACAAUGCGAAGCGAAUACCGCAAAGGUGCUCACUCUCUUCAAUCAUGAGUUAUCAGAAAUUGCAGCCCGUAUUCACUGUAUGGAAGAAGGCGCCCAACAAGAGAGACUAUUCAAGACCUUUGCAGAAUUAUCUAUGCGAUUGUUGCUGACCACGUUCAAUACAACUUUUCAAGGACCACGGUUAGAUAUAACUUCAUGGAAACUUCCUAUGCUGGGACCUCAGUAGAACACACUAUUGGCUUCCACAGUGCCGUAAUUCUUGGAGCACCCUGCUUACAAAGCCGUCUAUGAUGUUCGAGCUUCAUUACUGGCAAUUAAAACCUGCAAUAUCGCACUCGGCGCUACUUGGGGUCUACCAUUUUCAAACAUUUUCCAGCCAAAAAUGGCGUGCUCUGCAUGUUGCGUUUCUUUCCGACCAUUUUGGGGAGUUGGCGAGCUGUCGUCACUGAACCUGUACAGGUGCAACAGUGAGGUGAGUCGAUAUGACGAUGGCUCGUGGGGUGGUUUAUUGCCUUUCGUCAUUAGGACCAACUUUUUCACCUUCCAUUUAUCUGAGAACAUCCCCUCAUUUACACACUUUUUCCUAUCACUGCCUUUAAGGUCCUGGUUGGAAAUGCAUCCAGACCAGGUGUUUUUCUGUUCCCGAUUUUUUGCAGGCGAUUAGUAGCUUUCCCGCAAUAAUUGAGCUUCAUUGUCUGUGUCGUAGAAGUCUACGGCGGGAAAAGUUAUGUUACUAUCUCGCGGAGCAUGAGCACGUGACUUGCGGCGUUCUCUCUCUUGAUGUCUACUUUUUGGGCCAUACGAUCAAAGCUUACUUUUUUGCCGCUGCUUAUAGGGGAUGAACAGCUCGUUAAAGGCCUGCUUUCGACCUUCUGCCUCUUUUUCGAAAUGUAUUCCUAGGUCCAUGAUUAAGGCGAGAUACUUCCAACAUCGUAAAUGGCUUUGGGCAGAAAAAGUAGGAAUCCUCCUCGCUACAACUUUUUGUAAUGUAGUCUUCGUCUUCACGUAUACGACAGGCUUUUGAUCGGUAAAAUAGACCCGCACAAUAUCUUGCCAUAUGUCCGCAUCCCAGGCAUCGCCAAGGAUAUGCGCUCCCUGAUCUUGCAGAUCAGCCAUCUUAUGCGCACCUUUUCGGCUGUCAGUAGCUUGGCGACUUCUUUCUGUUGCAGACUUAUUACUACCAUCUGCGUUCCACUGUAUGCCUUCCACCACACCUCAGCGUAUGCCACCCGUAUUGUGGCUUACGUUCAUUACUUACGUCCUCACUCCUUUCUUAGAUUUUCCGCUUUCCCACCGGACUGGUUAAGCAGUUCGCCCUUUCUCGUUCUUUUUGUCUUCUGCACUACCUCCCCAAGCUGGUUUAUUUCCGGUUCGGUUUUAACCUUUCGCAGCAUAUAGGCAUAGGAGAUCUCACCUUUAGCGGGUAUAACAAUAAUAAUAUCGCACCUUGGGAGGUCUUCUUGGACGACCUGCCUUUUUUUUCUUCGCUUCCAUUUUCAUCCGCUCACUUCCUUUAGAGGGUUCUGGUCGUCAGCUAUACCUUUUACUUGCUAUUCCGUAGACCUUAAUGUGGUCGCUACGUUACGACGUCAGGACGGCCUGUCUGUGCCCCCGGGUUGUUUUUGCUUACCUUCCUUAAGUCUACUCACGGCCUGGCCAACCCCGACUACUUUCUCUUCACUUUGCUUGCUUUUAGCAGAGGGUAGAUUUGCGAAUCACCGUCAUCUACCGCUCCUUGUAUGUGUGCAUGCGCCGACGUUUGGGAACUCUUAUCGCUAGUCUUCAUAUGACUGGCUUUCGCAGCUUGCCCCUCAAGCCGGCGUUAUUCGUACACCGUUCUAACGCUAUCUAUCUUUAAGCGCCGCCUUUUCCCGUCAUUUCCACCAUUUCCGCCAGCUCUCUGUCGUAGCCGCCAAACCGAACAAAGGUUGUCUCGUUCUCCGCAUUUCUUGCGUCGCCACUUAAUUGCUCGGGGAGUGCUUGUACGUCUACUAUCGACAUCCUUAUUUUGUUCCAAUUACCCAAUGGUUACCUAUGCAAGGAAGGAGGCCAUGCGUGGUUUCAUGCUAGUUCUUAUAAGACCAACGGUCAAUACCAGCUUCCUACGCCAUGAAACGGCCCGGAGCGUUCUUCUCAUAGUCAAGAUUUUACCGGUCCCCUACACAUAGGCAUAUACCACGGACCUUCCUUCCUCGCUGCCAUUGACCUACUAGGAGUGGGUGCCUACUCACGCCGUCGCCGAAAUAGCUUUGGAAUCAGGCUUGUAUGACUUUAAUUUGGACUCAAGCCGUUCACUAUUCGCUACGAAUCUUAGUUGCUGUUAGGUAGUGCUUUGUCCUGUGGGGACCCAAAGUCGUCCCCCGCUUUGGCCUCACGGGUUCUCCGUCUCUGGCGGAGAGAGAGAGAAUGAGCGCUAGCUUUAGUCAGAGAGUAAAUUAGCAUACGAAUAAGAUAGACUUAGAAUAAGAAUAGAAUAAGAAUAGGAUAUGCUUAGAAUAAGAAUAGGAUAGACAUGGGAGAAGAAUAGAAUAAGAGUAAGGUUAGGAAUAGAAUGAGAUGAGGGAUAGAAUAAGAAUAGGUUAAGGCUAAGGUACAGUAGAAUAAGUGAGUCGUAAUUUAAGGGAGUCGAGCUUAGGCGCUCGGUGGAGAGAAUCGUAUUUUAGUCAUCGUUGAGUUUAGUCGGAAAUCGGAUAAGAAGACCGAAAUAUACAAUCGAACAAUAAAGCUCCCUGUAACAAAUAAAUAUUCUUGUGUUUUUCUGGGCCGCUGAGCUACCGCAGCCCCAGAUUAUGGCCAGAAAAGGCCUCACAGUCCUCUAUCGAGAAAAGAAAUAUCAUUUUGGACGAACGUUACUUUCUAGCUUACUGAUAAACAAUGUUGAAAAGAGUAAGUUCUUGCAAAAACAAGCUGCCGAAAUCAAAGCGUAACUUCUCAUGUUGUGCCCGAUUUCUUGUCUCUUUUCAAAAAUUAUAUCUAGUUCUAUUACCUCUUUCUCCUAUAUCAUCUUCUGGCAAUAUUGAUCUUACCACUGUUUUGCAUCAUCUGUUGAAAUAUUACUUUUUCGAACCUAUCAAAAAGCUUAAUGCCCAAAAUAUAAUUGUAUUGCUUGAAAACUUUGUUUUUCCCAUUUUUGGCGUGUCAGUCACAACUGGCAACGCUGUUCAAUUCAAGCCAUCCCUGUUCAAGCUCUUGUUAGAGAAUUGUGGCGAUCACCAUAAGCUAACUGCCUUUUUUCACCGCAAACUAAUGCGGGUGAAUUAGUGAAUCGAUCUAUUUUAGCCAUUUGAGCAUACAUUAAACCCUCUCAACGACUUUGGGAAGAAAACUUAUCGAACAUCGGUUGUGCCUUAGAAGUGCUGUUCAUGCAAGCAUAGGAUUUUUACUUUACUAUGUUCUCUUGGGUUAACACAUACUAAAUAGUGGCAAAUCAUAUGCGUUAUUGCGAAGCUUGAUUUUUUACAAGACCCUUUUUCUUAAAUAAGAACCGACGAAAAGUUGGAGAUAAUCAUAUAUGUGUCAAUUAAUCAAUUGAUUGAGUGCAGGGAAAUGUAAGGAGGAAAGCAGCUUUUAUGCUUUUACCAAAAAAAUUGAUCAAAAAUGCGGGAAUACCAAAGAGAAAUUUAUAAACUACCAAUAGAAAAAAAGUUACCUUUUAGCAGAACGUUUAUGAGUCGGUUACUGCAAACCCACUUUGGAGUUAAUUAGACUUUCAUUUUUGGCGUCAUGUGUGGUUAGACAAAAGAAAAAGAAACAUAAAAGUAGAACAAUCAAUAACGCUUCCAAGUUAAUAGACACUCAGAAACUAUUAAUGUUUCUUUGUAACAGCGGCCUAGCUGUUGUUCGGUCGAGCGGUUGCCCUCAGCCCGUGAUUCCGCAUUACAAAAAAACAUUAACUACUAAUACAAACAAAACCACUAAAAAAAGUUCUUUCAUUUCCACUAUAGAAUCAUGUCGUCUGCCCUGUACGUCGUUCUUUGGUCUCUCCUUCGUCUGUCGGUAUCUGUCCAAUUUCCUCAACCCCGGAAAAAGGCGUCUUCACACACGUGACACAUAGCAGUUUUGAUUCUUUUUUCCUCUUUCUCUAUGUGAUACCCAAACUAACCCAGCGAAUUCUGAAGCUUAUGUGACGGUAGCUUUCUUUUUUCUUUGCGACUGCUUUGCUGUAGAAAUAAUUUUACACGCACUUCUCUUCAUGCGGCUUCUUCUUUACGCGUGGAUUUCAAGGGCGUUUGUAGGAGGCUACAAAAAAACGUCUGGCCCCAGAAAUGAACUCACACAUUUUUCUUUUGCUUUUUUUUUUUUUAAGUAUUUUUAUUUAGAGAUUUUAAAGGGAUAUAUACACAAUAUCAUUUUGUUCACGAUACAUUCAUUUAGUUAUUUAUUCGGUUAUUAUUUACAAGUUAAGCUAAUGUUACGAAAUUUACUUUUCCUCUUUCUGUUACAUUUUUUUUAUACCAUAAAUAGAUUUUUACUUAAUUCAUAACGAGGGAUGAUGUGAAUAGGCGUUCAUGUAUAUGAAGAAAAUAAAAUUCUCUCUCCUUUGAAGUUUAUUCUGUACCAUUCUAUUUUUUUAUUAUUAUCUUUGUCCCUUUGUUUUUAAAUCUUAUGUACUGUUUAUGUACCCAUAUCAAACUAUUUUUGUAGGCAUAAUUAUUAUGGAUUCAAAAACCAAAAAUUCUCCUUGUUGAUAAUAACAAUUGCAAUCAUAAUUUUUUCCCAUUUAUUUUCAUCACAAGCACGGACAUUAUUUAUUUAUAUAGAUACACAGUUUUGUUUCUCGGUUUUAGUCCUCAAUAAAAUACAAAUUACAUAUCUUUUUUUUUAUUAAUAUUUUCUAUUCAAAAAACAAGGAGCGACUCCAAGUUUGUUUCAUACAAAAAUAUUUGCUAUCUUUUUUAGGUUUAUUGCCUUAUAAUAUAUAUAUUUAAAAUUAUAAAUUUUUUUCUUUUCAGUUUUAACAUAACGUUAGAUGGUUCAUUCAGCAAAAGAUUUUAUUUUAAAAGCAAUACAAAAAUACUUCGCGACAGUAAACAUUUUUUUUUUUAAGUAAAAUGUAAUUAACAGAAACAGUUAGGUAGAACAACCGAUAUCAGAAGUUAAAGACUUAAUUAUGUACAACGCACAGUACCUUUCACCAGACAAGACCAAACGUUAACUGAUCAUCCAAAACUCCUCUCUCAAAACUUUUCCUGUGACGUUACCCGAACAUAUGUACGUCAACAUCGUAAAGUAAAACGUACAUAAUGUUACAUGUGGAAUUUUGCAAAAGUUUCGCGUGCCCAAAGAACAUUUUCAAUAUUUUUAGAGAAAAAAUUGAUAGGAGUAACUCUUUGUUGUGCUUUUCAUGCUGUUGUGAAGUGAUUUUAUACAAUAAACCGUGGUUAGGAUACCCUAAUAUUUAUUCAAGUGAUUGGAUACGUAAAUGAACCUACUAAAGUCAUAUGUUAAUGUAUUAAUAUAAUACAUAACAUAAAACAAAUGAUACACAUGCAAAUUCAAAGUUCAAGUCAAUUUCAAUUCCAAGUUUUCCUAAGAAAUGAAAAUGUAA